This 533-nucleotide ribosomal RNA is filed under the name Trachylepis quinquetaeniata (African five-lined skink). RNAcentral's name for it is "partial small subunit ribosomal RNA". It matches the Rfam family "Bacterial large subunit ribosomal RNA", at positions 1815 to 2607 of the family's 2925-position model. The record is from RNAcentral. Lineage: Eukaryota; Metazoa; Chordata; Lepidosauria; Squamata; Scincidae.
AUAGCCUUUAGCUAAAACAAGUAUUAAAGGUAUCGCCUGCCCAGUGAAAUUUUUUAACGGCCGCGGUAUUCUAACCGUGCAAAGGUAGCGUAAUCACUUGUCUCCUAAAUAGAGACCAGUAUGAACGGCUAAAUGAGGACAAACCUGUCUCUUAUAACUAAUCAGUGAAACUGAUCUCCCAGUACAAAAGCUGGGAUCAACACAUAAGACGAGAAGACCCCGUGGAGCUUAAAACAAACCACCAACUUUAAUCCUGGUGCACUGUUUUGAGUUGGGGCGACUUCGGAACACAACAAAACUUCCGAGCACAGAACCACCAAUUUCUAACUAAGGCCAACAAGCCUAAGUAUUAACAAGACCCGGCCCACGCCGACCAACGAACCAAGUUACCCCGGGGAUAACAGCGCUAUCUUCUUCAAGAGUCCCUAUCAACAAGAAGGUUUACGACCUCCGAUGUUGGGAUCAGGGAACACCCAAAUGGGUGGCAGCCGCUAUUAAAAGGGUUCGUUUGUUCAACGGAUUAACAGGUCCUA